AUGGCACAGGUGGACGUGUCGACGGCGACACGGACAAGACCAUGUCCACACAUGAGCAAUCACGGAUUGGUGUGUCCCGCGGGCUCCUUGCCUCUCGCAAUCAACCACUAAAGAGGCCAUCCUUCUUAGUCCUGUGCUCAUUCRUAUCUUUAGGCCAUCCUUUUUAGUCCAGUGCGUUGCGUGUGCCAUCUACCCGGCUCUGCAGGAAGUCAACGUACCCUAUGUGCUAGUUCACCUCCCCACCUCGAGCGGGAGGCACAACCACAAUGUGGUCGUUGCGCRCACCUUAACGACACAACCCUUGGGCCCCGUGCUAGCUGRGCUCCUAAAGUAUCCCAAGCUCUCGCAAAUGCGACAGGCUUCGGGGACUUCGGCCCUCGGCCCGRACCUUGGUCGGUCAUUAAGCCACCCUCGUCGAGACAACGAUCGAUCCACCGAUAGGCCCCCUCCGCUCCCUGCAGGCGGUCGGGCGCCUUGACAGCACCSGCAUCG
RNAcentral lists this unclassified non-coding RNA (492 nucleotides) under Ananas comosus (pineapple). Its description in RNAcentral is "partial 26S-18S rRNA external transcribed spacer". Lineage: Eukaryota; Viridiplantae; Streptophyta; Magnoliopsida; Poales; Bromeliaceae. The record is from RNAcentral.